Molecule: unclassified non-coding RNA, 327 nt
Filed under: Hevea brasiliensis (rubber tree)
Lineage: Eukaryota; Viridiplantae; Streptophyta; Magnoliopsida; Malpighiales; Euphorbiaceae
Source: RNAcentral
GCAGGCAAGAUCAACCAAUAUACACCACCCCUUGUUUGUGUCACUCCACCUUCAUUUGCAUGAACCUGAAUCCCUUCCACCUGACCACAAGUGAGUUUACACGCAAUUGCAUGACUUGCUUCAUGCAAAAAUACGGUGAUGAGCUUAAAAGGUGUCAUUAGUAUUGUCCUCCAUAGCGCGAGGAUAACAAGGGAGAAGACGCCGAUGGUGACAAGGAAGACGACCUGGUCGUGCUGGCAGCAGUUCUUCAGUUCCCAAUUAGGCAUAUUUCUGUAAUUUUUGAAUCGGGAAAAUGGCUGAUAGGGACGAGAGAAAAUCUGGACAGAG